UUUUUCCUUUGUAUGAGCGGGUUGUAUAACUAUGCUCAGAUUUCUUGAAUGCAUAUAUAUAUUAUAUAUUCUGUUGCAUUAAGAUGAUGGUAUUAUAUGCCUGGAAUAUUUCUGUAUGGCUUGAGAUGCAUUGACUGCAUAAGCAUGCAUCCUAGACACUAUCCCUUAGAGAAUGUAUCUUAUAUAUACUUGUACUGUAUAUUGUUUUUUUACUUAUGGAUUGAUUCAGAGUGCCUGAUUAUAUGGAUGGUGCUCAUACCUGGACUGUUUAUCUUUGAUCUGUUUUCUUAUGUCUGCAUAGGUAUUCUCUUUAUUUUUUACUUAUGUUUUUCAUUUAUUUUUUAAAUUUUUGGCUAAUUUUUGUUUCUAUUUUCACACAUCUUUAAUAUUGUGUUAGUAUGUGGUUUGUUUCAGAUUCUUCUUUAUAACAGGGGCUGGUAUCAUACACUCUGGUUAUGUUCCUGUUUUCCUCUGGAGCUAUAUGUGUCUCUCUGAUCCCUUUUAUUUUUGGGCUAUGCAGUAUAUUAUCUGGUUAGUGUUUCUGACAUCAGUGGUUGGCGCAUGCACCAAUCACUGAUUAUCCUACAAAUUUCUGCAUUUUGGAAUGCACGUGCGUUCCACCUUAUGCUGCUUGCUUCCGGGGUUUAGCGUCGGGAGGUGCAUUGGUGGUUGGCGCAUGUUGAGCGUUCAUAGCUCUUUGUGUUGGAACGCAUUUGCAUUCCACUUCGCCCAGUCUAUUUCCGGGUUCAGGGAUUUGCAGCGCUCUAUGCAGCGUGCGCCUCCAUCAUAUCUUGAAUUUAUUUAUCACCAAGCUUAGAUUCUCGAUCGGGUCCCUGUAUUUGUGGUAUUUAUAUACUUAACUGCACUCUAUUUAUUUCAAUUUUUUCCAACUUACUAUACAGUUUGGGAUACUAUACAGUUUGGGACACUGUUGAUAUAUACAUACUAAUACUGUUUUAAAAUUAAAUAAUUAAAUUCCUGUCGGUAUCAUUCCAAUAUGUUUCUUUUUGUUUGUCUAUAAUAUGGGUAAUGCAUGUUUCAAAUUGGAUCAUGUUGAUUAUAUUUGCUAUAUCAGUCUGUAUACUGGAACCUGCAUGUUAUGUGUAUGUUUACAUGUCUAUGUCUUUGGUUUCCUUGGUAACCAUAAACAGGUGUUUAUGGUUGGGAGGAUCCCAAUCAUCAUGGGUGGCCACCCAUUUACUUCAGGUGUUUCUAAUGUUUGUAUUUCUUUUUGGGUAUAUAAGAACAGGUUUUAGUCUCUCUCAACAAGCUCCCUUGAUAAAGGCAUUUUUUCCGAAACGUUGGGGGUGUUUUGGUGAUUGACUCUGUCCCUGCUUCUCACUGGUUCUGGUAUGCUUUAAUUAUUUUUUUUUUCUAUAUGUAUUUAUAUUUGUGGGGUUAGAGUGGAUUGGUAUCUCCUCCAAAUACCUAUGUUAUAGAUUUUGCUGUUCAUAUAUUACGCAUUUGGCGUUUGCAUAUACAUCCAGAAUUGCUCUAGCUGUUGCUUAUAAUAUGAUAUGAUUCUACAUUCUGGUUUUUCAUGUAAUGAGAUACUCUAUUAGUGUGUUCCCACUUAAUAAAGAUACUUUUUUUUGUAUAUAAA
This 1603-nucleotide long non-coding RNA is filed under the name Pelobates cultripes (western spadefoot toad). The record is from RNAcentral. Lineage: Eukaryota; Metazoa; Chordata; Amphibia; Anura; Pelobatidae.